This 253-nucleotide ribosomal RNA is filed under the name uncultured bacterium. RNAcentral's name for it is "partial 16S ribosomal RNA". It matches the Rfam family "Bacterial small subunit ribosomal RNA", at positions 524 to 776 of the family's 1533-position model. The record is from RNAcentral.
UACGGGGGGGGCAAGCGUUGUUCGGAAUUACUGGGCGUAAAGGGCUCGUAGGCGGCCAACUAAGUCGGACGUGAAAUCCCCAGGCUCAACCUGGGAACUGCGUCCGAUACUGGAUGGCUUGAAUUCGGGAGAGGGAUGCAGAAUUCCAGGUGUAGCGGUGAAAUGCGUAGAUAUCUGGAGGAAUACCGGUGGCGAAGGCGGCAUCCUGGACCGACAUUGACGCUGAUGAGCGAAAGCUAGGGGAGCGAACGGG